Molecule: non-coding RNA, 22 nt
Filed under: Mus musculus (house mouse)
Lineage: Eukaryota; Metazoa; Chordata; Mammalia; Rodentia; Muridae
Source: RNAcentral
UGUCUGAGUGAUCCACAGACUU